GGAUCAUUGCCUCCAUCCCAGGCCUUGGGCUGAGAGCUGGCGGUUUAGCCCGCUAAGUUGUGUCUGACUCUUGCGACCCCAUGGACUAUAGCCUGCCAGGCUCCUGGAUUCUCCAGGCAAGAACACCAGAGCCUCAAUCCAGUUCAUCUGAAGUAAUUCAGCAAGCACCUGUUGAGUCUUCUAACUGCAGGGACUGGCCCCUAGGAGCAUCUGGGCUACGGAAGGAGGCGGCCAGACACCGGAUACACACCUAGAGAAGUUCAGAUGUGGCCAUUGCAUCUGAACCCCAACUCAGCGCAUGGUCUGACAGUGGGUUAUUUUAAAUUGUGAACGUAUGUAUAGGGAAGACGUU
Molecule: long non-coding RNA, 352 nt
Filed under: Capra hircus (goat)
Lineage: Eukaryota; Metazoa; Chordata; Mammalia; Artiodactyla; Bovidae
Description: lncRNA (ENSCHIG00000002752.1)
Source: RNAcentral